UACGUAGGGUCCGAGCGUUGUCCGGAAUUACUGGGCGCAAAGAGCUCGUAGGUGGUUUGUCGCGUUGUCCGUGAAAACUCACAGCUUAACUGUGGGCGUGCGGGCGAUACGGGCAGACUGGAGUACUGCAGGGGAGACUGGAAUUCCUGGUGUAGCGGUGGAAUGCGCAGAUAUCAGGAGGAACACCGGUGGCGAAGGCGGGUCUCUGGGCAGUAACUGACGCUGAGGAGCGAAAGCCAGGGGAGCAAACGGG
This 253-nucleotide ribosomal RNA is filed under the name uncultured bacterium. RNAcentral's name for it is "partial 16S ribosomal RNA". It matches the Rfam family "Bacterial small subunit ribosomal RNA", at positions 524 to 776 of the family's 1533-position model. The record is from RNAcentral.